UCCGUAGGUGGCAAGCGUUGUCCGGAUUUACUGGGCGUAAAGAGCUCGUCGGCGGUCUGUCGCGUCGGUCGUGAAAACUUGGGGCUUAACCCUGAGCUUGCGGUCGAUACGGGCAUGACUGGAGUUCGGCAGGGGAGACUGGAAUUCCUGGUGUAGCGGUGAAAUGCGUAGAGAUCGGAAAGAACACCAACGGCGAAAGCACUCUGCUGGGCCGACACUGACACUGAGAGACGAAAGCUAGGGGAGCGAAUGGG
Molecule: ribosomal RNA, 254 nt
Filed under: uncultured bacterium
Lineage: Bacteria
Description: partial 16S ribosomal RNA
Rfam family: Bacterial small subunit ribosomal RNA
Source: RNAcentral